GAGGCAGCAGUGCGGAAUAUUGGACAAUGGGCGAAAGCCUGAUCCAGCGACGCCGCGUGCGGGACGAAGGCCUUCGGGUCGUAAACCGCUGUGGUAAGGGACGAAUAGCCGGUGGAGUGGAAAGCCACCGGAGGAGACGGUACCUUACUAGGAAGCCCCGGCUAACUACGUGCCAGCAGCCGCGGUAAUACGUAGGGGGCGAGCGUUACCCGGAAUCACUGGGCGUAAAGGGAGCGUAGGCGGCCCAGCAAGUCGACUGUGAAAAACCGGAGCUCAACUUCGGUCCUGCGGUCGAAGCUGCUGGGCUUGAGGACAGUAGAGGGAGGCGGAACUGCCGGUGUAGGGGUAAAAUCCUUAGAUAUCGGCAGGAACGCCGGUGGCGAAGGCGGUCUCCUGGGCCGGACCUGACGCUGAGGCUCGAAAGCCAGGGGAGCGAACGGGAUUAGAUACCCCGGUAGUCCUGGCCCUAAACGAUGCUCACUAGGUGUGGGGUGCGUAGAGCACUCCGUGCUGAAGCAAACGCGAUAAGUGAGCCGCCUGGGGA
This 544-nucleotide ribosomal RNA is filed under the name uncultured bacterium. Its description in RNAcentral is "bacterial SSU rRNA". It matches the Rfam family "Bacterial small subunit ribosomal RNA", at positions 345 to 879 of the family's 1533-position model. The record is from RNAcentral.